GCCCCGGUAGCCCAGUGGCAGAGGCAGUGCUCUCAAACAGCAUUCAGCGUGGGUUCGAAUCCCACCCGGGGCA
Molecule: transfer RNA, 73 nt
Filed under: Streptomyces lonarensis
Lineage: Bacteria; Bacillati; Actinomycetota; Actinomycetes; Kitasatosporales; Streptomycetaceae
Also listed under: 2 other names
Description: Streptomyces sp. NCL 716 tRNA
Rfam family: tRNA
About the family: Transfer RNA (tRNA) molecules are approximately 80 nucleotides in length.
Source: Rfam by way of RNAcentral